Arachis ipaensis is the source of this 422-nucleotide non-coding RNA. NCBI's taxonomy places the organism in Eukaryota, Viridiplantae, Streptophyta, Magnoliopsida, Fabales, Fabaceae. The record is from RefSeq and is a predicted model, not a curated record.
AAGUCCAAAGAUUAGAUUUGACUGCUUGUAUCAUACUACCUAGGUGUUCAUUUCAUAUGAAAAAAAUCAAAUGGGGAGCUUCUAUUAUCGUAUGGGUUUGUUCCAAGGGAAGGCGCCAAUCCUUGUGAUUCAGUUGAGUUGUCAGUGUCACUCAAAAAAUCUGAUCAAUCCUACAAGGAGAAAUUAGAACUCUUGAAGAAAUAUGGAUUAUCAGGAUCUCAAUGUUUUCCAAUACAGAUUACUGGUUGGCCAUUGGAGUUAAUGGCUUAUGCUUAUUUAGCUGUUAGUCCUCCAAGCAUGAUAGUGCGAUUUGAAGAACAGCAUCAAAUAAAAGUAUCGCCAAGAAAGAUUCGAGAUAUCCUGAAAUAGAGGAGCAGGCAUUGUGCGAAUCCAGUAUAUUAAAAUAUAACAAUUUCUUACAG